UCAAAAUCUGAGAGCUCAGGGAGGCCGUGGAAAUUUGGGGAAGAAGAAACAGACUCCCUGAGCAGAGCUCAGGGCAGCAGCUCCAGGCAUGCCUGCUGAGCCCAUCAGGCCACCGCCACCUGCAGGAAGAGCCUCUGGCCUGAACUGCUGGGGAUGGGCUGCAGAAAGCCUGAGACAUUUGGGCCAGCACCUUCCCAGGGGCACAGGCCCCCAAGGCGGGGACACCACCUCUGCUCUGCCAGGCCUGCCUCCAGGGCUCUGAGGAGAAGCUGACUUCACGGCCGCGGUGCCAGUGAGGGCUGCAUAGCCAGGCCUUGUCUGUAGUCUGGGCGGCCCGUGGCGCUGCCCUUCAGCCCAACUACUCAUUGCCGCUGCGUCUUUGGCGAGGCUUUCAUUUCCAACCUUUCUUCCCAUCUCAGCCCUUUUGUUGGCCCGGGUCCCAGGAGGCUGGUGUCGGUGAGGGCAGGCCCGCUCCUCUCAUCGGGGUGGCUGUGGCCUGUCCCCCAGUCCCUCAAUGGCCACUUUCUAUAAACAAGGCAGCACUAAUUUUUGCUAUAAGAUAAAAGAGGCCAGGCACGUUGGCUCACACCUGUCAUCCCAGCACUUUGGGAGGCUGAGGCGGGUGGAUCACCUGAGAUUGGGAGUUCGAGACCAGCCUGGCCAACAUGGUGAAAACCCCGUCUCUACUAAAAAUACAAAAAUUAGCUGGGCGUGGUGGCAGGUGCCUGUAACCCUAGCUACUCAGGAGGCUGAGGCACGAGAAAUGCUUGAAGCCAGAAGGCAGAGAUUGCAGUGAGCCAAGAUCACAACACCGCGCUCCAGUCUGCGCGACAGAGCGAGACUCUGUCUCAAAAAAAAAAAAAAAAAAGUGCAGGUGCACGCUGGUGGGGACAUUAGGAGCCUGUCAAGAGUGGGUCUGCCUGCUGGCACUUACUAGACGGGAAAUACCCCCUAAAGAGGGCUUAAAAAGCAUCUUCUCCCUAGCACGGGGCAUGCUGGCACAGGGUGCUGUGUGACAGAGGCUUGGCCGCUGGGCCCCGCUGCUGAGAAGGCUGCUCUGCCCAUGCCUGGCCCUGUGGGCAGUGCCAGCCAUGGAUCCCUGAGACCCUGGGCUGGAACCUGGGGCCCCGUCCCAGCCCUACCUGCAGCUCACUAACCCUCUCUGGGUUCUGCUCAGUGUCUGAAGUGAUGGAAAGACCCCAGGGUUGGUGGCUGUAGCGGCCCCCAGGGGUGGCAGAACCCUUUGGGAGGCCAAGUGUUCUUUCCCAAAGCUGCGCGGGUGCCAUCGCCUGCCAGGCCCUGGCUGUGGUGACAGACGUGGGCUGGGGUGAGGCUGCAUCUGCUUCCUCUAACAGCCGUGGCUGCCUGCGGGCUCUGGCCUCCGCUCUGGCAGAUUCUGCACAUUCCCUGCAGGCGCAGGGGUGGGUGGGGGUGCCUGUGGCCUCGGAGGUACAGCCAGCUGUCCUCAGCUCAGAUGGCCCCCAAGAGCCCCCAGCUCCUGUUCACUGCUCUUCCAGUUAGUGACCCCCGUGUCAGCAUCAUUGUCAGAGUUCCUGGGCUUGUGGGGGCUGGAGAAGGGAAGGCGCUGAGGAGGGAAAGAUGAGUGCAGGUUUUGUUGAAACCACCCGACCCGCGUUUUCAGGGGGACGAGGCCACUGCCUUGGCCCAAGGACCUGCAGGCUUGGGGGACCCCCUCGAUGUCCACUGGGCUGCGGAUGAAACAUCACACUGUGGUAGGAAAGGAAGGGGAGCACCCCCAGACGGGGGGGUCCUGCAGAGACCCCAACCCCUUACCUACCUAGUUGAGACACCCAUGGGGAGCAGCCCCAACAGCAUGUCGGAGUCCCUAGGCUUGUGGGGUCAUGCUCUGUUGAGGGCCCUUCCUCUAACUGGCGAGCUUGUUUACAGCUGAGCUCGCCUGGUCAGAUGGGCCCAGUGGCUUUAUCUAAUAAAGGCUGGACAUGUCCACUUCAUGAGCA
RNAcentral lists this long non-coding RNA (1979 nucleotides) under Homo sapiens (human). RNAcentral's name for it is "non-protein coding lnc-TIGD5-1:1". The record is from RNAcentral. Lineage: Eukaryota; Metazoa; Chordata; Mammalia; Primates; Hominidae.